This 252-nucleotide ribosomal RNA is filed under the name uncultured bacterium. RNAcentral's name for it is "partial 16S ribosomal RNA". It matches the Rfam family "Bacterial small subunit ribosomal RNA", at positions 524 to 776 of the family's 1533-position model. The record is from RNAcentral.
UACGUAGGGGGCUAGCGUUAUCCGGAAUUACUGGGCGUAAAGGGUGCGUAGGUGGUUUCUUAAGUCAGAGGUGAAAGGCUACGGCUCAACCGUAGUAAGCCUUUGAAACUGGGGAACUUGAGUGCAGGAGAGGAGAGUGGAAUUCCUAGUGUAGCGGUGAAAUGCAUAGAUAUCACGCAGAACUCCGAUUGCGAAGGCAGCGCACCGGCGCCCUACUGACGCUCAGGCACGAAAGCGUGGGUAUCGAACAGG